RNAcentral lists this ribosomal RNA (460 nucleotides) under uncultured bacterium. Its description in RNAcentral is "partial 16S ribosomal RNA". It matches the Rfam family "Bacterial small subunit ribosomal RNA", at positions 338 to 795 of the family's 1533-position model. The record is from RNAcentral.
CCUACGGGGGGCUGCAGUGAGGAAUAUUGGUCAAUGGACGAGAGUCUGAACCAGCCAAGUAGCGUGAAGGAUGACUGCCCUAUGGGUUGUAAACUUCUUUUAUAUGGGAAUAAAAUGUUCCACGUGUGGGAUUUUGUAUGUACCAUAUGAAUAAGGAUCGGCUAACUCCGUGCCAGCAGCCGCGGUAAUACGGAGGAUCCGAGCGUUAUCCGGAUUUAUUGGGUUUAAAGGGAGCGUAGGUGGAUUGUUAAGUCAGUUGUGAAAGUUUGCGGCUCAACCGUAAAAGUGCAGUUGAAACUGGCAGUCUUGAGUACAGGAGAGGUGGGCGGAAUUCGUGGUGUAGCGGUGAAAUGCUUAGAUAUCACGAAGAACUCCGAUUGCGAAGGCAGUUCACUGGACUGCAACUGACACUGAGGCUCGAAAGUGUGGGUAUCAAACAGGAUUAGAUACCCGUGUAGUC